GCAUUAUACGGCGAAACUGCGAAUGGCUCAUUAAAUCAGUUAUCGUUUAUUUGAUAGUACCUUACUACAAGGAUAACCGUGGUAAUUCUAGAGCUAAUACUUGCAAAAAAUCCCGACUUCGGAAGGGAUGUAUUUAUUAGAUUAAAAACCAAUGCCCUUCGGGGCUCUCUGGUGAUUCAUGAUAACUUCUCGAAUCGCAUGGCCUUGCGCCGGCGAUGGUUCAUUCAAAUUUCUGCCCUAUCACCUUUCGACGGCUGGGUCUUGGCCAGCCGUGGGAACAACGGGUAACGGAGAGUUAGGGCUCGACUCCGGAGAAGGAGCCUGAGAAACGGCUACUACAUCCAAGGAAGGCAGCAGGCGCGCAAAUUACCCAAUACCGACACGGUGAGGUAGUGACAAUAAAUACUGAUACAGGGCUCUUUUGGGUCUUGUAAUUGGAAUGAGUACAAUUUAAAUCCCUUAACGAGGAACAAUUGGAGGGCAAGUCUGGUGCCAGCAGCCGCGGUAAUUCCAGCUCCAAUAGCGUAUAUUAAAGUUGUUGCGGUUAAAAAGCUCGUAGUUGAACCUUGGGCCUGGCUGGCCGGUCCGCCUCACCGCGUGCACUGGUCCGGCCGGGCCUUUCCCUCUGGGGAACCGCAUGCCCUUCACUGGGUGUGUCGGGGAACCAGGACUUUUACUUUGAAAAAAUUAGAGUGUUCAAAGCAGGCCUAUGCUCGAAUACAUUAGCAUGGAAUAAUAGAAUAGGACGUGCGGUUCUAUUUUGUUGGUUUCUAGGACCGCCGUAAUGAUUAAUAGGGACAGUCGGGGGCAUCAGUAUUCAAUUGUCAGAGGUGAAAUUCUUGGAUUUAUUGAAGACUAACUACUGCGAAAGCAUUUGCCAAGGAUGUUUUCAUUAAUCAGGAACGAAAGUUAGGGGAUCGAAGACGAUCAGAUACCGUCGUAGUCUUAACCAUAAACUAUGCCAACUAGGGAUCGGACGAUGUUAUUUUUUGACUCGUUCGGCACCUUACACGAAAGUACA
Molecule: ribosomal RNA, 1021 nt
Filed under: Fluminicola aquatica
Lineage: Eukaryota; Fungi; Ascomycota; Sordariomycetes; Papulosaceae
Description: SSU rRNA
Rfam family: Eukaryotic small subunit ribosomal RNA
Source: RNAcentral